UACGGAGGGUGCGAGCGUUAAUCGGAAUUACUGGGCGUAAAGCGUGCGUAGGCGGCUGAUUAAGUCAGAUGUGAAAGCCCCGGGCUUAACCUGGGAACUGCAUUUGAUACUGGUCAGCUAGAGUUGAGUAGAGGAGAGGGGAAUUUCCGGUGUAGCGGUGAAAUGCGUAGAGAUCGGAAGGAACACCAGUGGCGAAGGCGCCUCUCUGGACUCAAACUGACGCUGAGGUACGAAAGCGUGGGUAGCAAACAGG
Molecule: ribosomal RNA, 253 nt
Filed under: uncultured bacterium
Lineage: Bacteria
Description: partial 16S ribosomal RNA
Rfam family: Bacterial small subunit ribosomal RNA
Source: RNAcentral